Molecule: unclassified non-coding RNA, 241 nt
Filed under: Hevea brasiliensis (rubber tree)
Lineage: Eukaryota; Viridiplantae; Streptophyta; Magnoliopsida; Malpighiales; Euphorbiaceae
Source: RNAcentral
AGGAAUACAUUGCGGCGAUCCGAGAAGGCGGCGUCAAGAUCGUCGAAACAGCGGGCCGCAGCCCCGAGCAAUAUAUGCCGGCGUUGAAAGCGGGAGGGAUCAAGGUGAUCCAUAAGUGCACCUCGGUCCGUCACGCGCUGAGGGCCGAGCAGAUCGGCUGUGAUGCCGUCAGUGUGGACGGCUUUGAAUGCGGCGGUCAUCCCGGCGAGGAUGAUAUGCCCAACAUGAUCUUGCUACCUCG